GUGACCUACGGGACGCAGCAGUGGGGAAUAUUGGGCAAUGGGCGCAAGCCUGACCCAGCAACGCCGCGUGAAGGAAGAAGGCUUUCGGGUUGUAAACUUCUUUUCUCAGGGACGAAGAAAGUGACGGUACCUGAGGAAUAAGCCACGGCUAACUACGUGCCAGCAGCCGCGGUAAUACGUAGGUGGCAAGCGUUAUCCGGAUUUAUUGGGUGUAAAGGGCGUGUAGGCGGGAGCGCAAGUCAGAUGUGAAAACUCAGGGCUCAACCCUGAGCCUGCAUUGGAAACUGUGGUUCUUGAGUGAUGGG
RNAcentral lists this ribosomal RNA (305 nucleotides) under uncultured bacterium. RNAcentral's name for it is "bacterial SSU rRNA". It matches the Rfam family "Bacterial small subunit ribosomal RNA", at positions 334 to 653 of the family's 1533-position model. The record is from RNAcentral.